AUACGGAGGGUGCGAGCGUUAAUCGGAAUUACUGGGCGUAAAGCGUACGUAGGCGGUUUGCUAAGUCAGAUGUGAAAGCCCCGGGCUUAACCUGGGAACUGCAUUUGAUACUGGCAGACUAGAGUAUGAUAGAGGGGGGUAGAAUUCCGGGUGUAGCGGUGAAAUGCGUAGAUAUCAGGAGGAAUACCAGUGGCGAAGGCGGCCCCCUGGAUCAAUACUGACGCUGAGGUAUGAAAGCGUGGGGAGCGAACAGGAUUAGAAACCCUAGUAGUCC
RNAcentral lists this ribosomal RNA (274 nucleotides) under uncultured bacterium. RNAcentral's name for it is "partial 16S ribosomal RNA". It matches the Rfam family "Bacterial small subunit ribosomal RNA", at positions 523 to 796 of the family's 1533-position model. The record is from RNAcentral.